GCACCCAAACCCUGAGUUCAAGCCCCAGUACUGGAACAUGAAAACACACACUCACACACACACACACACACACACACACACUCACACACGCCAACUAUCAGAAAGCUCUUGGCACUGCCCAUCCCUUCCUGGGCUAGACGGAGCCUCCAGAGCAGGACCUGCCUGGCUAAGGCCGCCUCCUUCAUUCCAGUGGCCUCCUCCUGCCCCUCCAGAGUCCAAGUGUUGUGAAGCCCCGCAUGGUGAGGAGGGGGCCACAGAUGUCCUGGCUGCUGCUGAGCUCCUUUCUUUACCCCACAGGGCUUUUUCUAAGCCAGGCAUGUAGUUUAUUCUUCUCCUAAACCCUUCGAUAGGGUGCAGGGCCCAGAGUUGCCAUAGAAACACCUAUUAACUCCUCCUCACCCCGAAGGCUGUGCUGGUCCCCUGGGCUUUGGGGAAGAAAGGAGAAAAAAAGACACCUGUGGAUAAGGAGACAGGAGAGGUUAGGCUGGGGAAGGGGAGGGGGUGGGGGGGGAGUAGAGAGAGUCAAGCCGGGCAUUCUGUGCCCUUCCUGGCAACACAGCACCCAGCCAGGAAGAGAAAACCACCGGGAAGGUUCUGGAAUAGGAAAGUGGUGGGUUGUCCUGUGUACCUUGAAGUGAGAUCCAGUG
Molecule: long non-coding RNA, 647 nt
Organism: Perognathus longimembris pacificus (Pacific pocket mouse)
Lineage: Eukaryota; Metazoa; Chordata; Mammalia; Rodentia; Heteromyidae
Exons: 2
Source: RefSeq, a predicted model, not a curated record